RNAcentral lists this ribosomal RNA (407 nucleotides) under uncultured microorganism. RNAcentral's name for it is "bacterial SSU rRNA". It matches the Rfam family "Archaeal small subunit ribosomal RNA", at positions 330 to 735 of the family's 1478-position model. The record is from RNAcentral.
GCGCACCAGGCGCGAAACCUUCGCAAUGCGGGAAACCGCGACGAGGGGACUCCCAGUGCCUACGCUCAGCGUAGGCUGUUCCCGAGCCUAGAAAGCUCGGGGAGUAAGGGCUGGGUAAGACGGGUGCCAGCCGCCGCGGUAAUACCCGCAGCCCGAGUGGUGGCCACUAUUAUUGGGCCUAAAGCGUCCGUAGCCGGCCCGGUAAAUGCCUGGGUAAAUCGUGAGGCCUAACCUCACGAAUUCCGGGUAGACUGCCGGGCUAGGGGACCGGAGGAGGGAGAGGGGUACUCCAGGGGGUAGGGGUGAAAUCCUGUAAUCCCUGGAGGACCACCGGUGGCGAAGGCGCUCUCCUAGGACGGGUCCGACGGUGAGGGACGAAAGCCAGGGGGAGCGAACCGGAUUAGAUA